AUAACCAAGACAUAUGACGGGAACUGGUCUUGCGAGAUACUCACUUUAAAAGACAUCCUAGGUGUCUCAAACAUAGUGACAGUCGAUAACAGCACGUAUAGACAAACUUUCUGCCGUGCGAGAGUACACAUACAAACACGAACAAACACCAUACAACUUGACACGAGUGAUGAGCCAUGUACUGUGGCUGCAUCUAGAGAACGAACCAUCAGUAAUAAUACCGUUGUCUUCUACUUGGGAGACGAUAUACGUCUUGAAUUUAUUAGUCAACAUUACAUGAAUCGUAUAAUAUGCAACGUGAGUCACCCUUCGAACAGUUUUGACUUCACAGUUAAAGAAAUCGAUCUAAAGCUGUAUCGCUAUGAACAUGAGAAGAAACU
Long non-coding RNA from Ostrinia nubilalis (European corn borer), 380 nucleotides. RefSeq lists it as uncharacterized. The transcript is spliced from 3 exons. The record is from RefSeq and is a predicted model, not a curated record. NCBI's taxonomy places the organism in Eukaryota, Metazoa, Arthropoda, Insecta, Lepidoptera, Crambidae.